Molecule: transfer RNA, 74 nt
Filed under: Candidatus Aenigmatarchaeota archaeon
Lineage: Archaea; Nanobdellati; Candidatus Aenigmatarchaeota
Description: tRNA-Phe
Rfam family: tRNA
About the family: Transfer RNA (tRNA) molecules are approximately 80 nucleotides in length. Their secondary structure includes four short double-helical elements and three loops (D, anti-codon, and T loops).
Source: RNAcentral
GGGACAGUAGCUCAGCCUGGGAGAGCACACGGCUGAAGACCGUGCUGUCGUGCGUUCAAAUCGCACCUGUCCCA